Molecule: ribosomal RNA, 255 nt
Filed under: uncultured bacterium
Lineage: Bacteria
Description: partial 16S ribosomal RNA
Rfam family: Bacterial small subunit ribosomal RNA
Source: RNAcentral
UACGAAGGGGGGCUAGCGUUGUUCGGAUUUACUGGGCGUAAAGCGCACGUAGGCGGUUUGUUAAGUGAGAGGUGAAAUCCCAGAGCUCAACUCUGGAACUGCCUUUCAUACUGGCAAGCUAGAGUCCGGAAGAGGUAAGUGGAACUCCUAGUGUAGAGGUGGAAUUCGUAGAUAUUAGGAAGAACACCAGUGGCGAAGGCGGCUUACUGGUCCGGAACUGACGCUGAGGUGCGAAAGCGUGGGGGAGCAAACAGG